GGACAAGGAGAGGUAGGUGGGAGUUAACUCAGCAAAGCCAGGAAGACAUGUCUGCCCAGGCAGGGAGACCAACAUGCUUGACGCUUCAUCAUAACUCCCACAGGCCCUUCAUUCCACAGUUGAAAUUCUUCUGGGAAAUCUAUUUGACUCUGCAUUUCACACGUCAAAAUCAUUUUCUUCCUUCCUGGUUGGGAAACAGCAAUUAAGGUUCUUCAGUUUAGCAAAAGUUACAAUAUGUCGAUGUCUUGCACAGCCUGUUGCUAAAUUCCCCCAAGACCUUGAGGUGCACUCCAUUCAGACAACUUCUCUUCCCUCUUAGGGUACUUUGCACAGGUUGGGCAACAGAAAAUGACUAAAAGAAAUACAAUAUUUAUUGGAUAGCAUAAAACCUAGUCUUUUUUUUCCAAUAAACUGACAGUUUUCUACACUCUUGCCUAACUCUUCCAAAUUUUCUUAACCAUCCUUCCCCUCCCGUAUGAUCAAUAGUUUAACUCAGUGUUAUGUUUUAUAUAUUUAAUGCUGCAAAAGUCAUUCAGAGGAUCCAAGACUCACACAGACGUUAGUCUGGAAAGAGCUUGGCAUUUCAAAAUCUCAGUUUAUCAGGUAAUAAUUGUUUUAUGUGUUUUUAACAAAAAUCUUUUUAAAAAGGCUUUCGGACCAACAAAACUAUAAUUUCACUGACAGUUACCUUUUGAUCAAUCU
Molecule: long non-coding RNA, 702 nt
Filed under: Homo sapiens (human)
Lineage: Eukaryota; Metazoa; Chordata; Mammalia; Primates; Hominidae
Description: HSALNT0099762
Source: RNAcentral